Molecule: ribosomal RNA, 506 nt
Filed under: uncultured bacterium
Lineage: Bacteria
Description: bacterial SSU rRNA
Rfam family: Bacterial small subunit ribosomal RNA
Source: RNAcentral
GUGGGGAAUAUUGCACAAUGGGGGGAACCCUGAUGCAGCAACGCCGCGUGGAGGAUGACACAUUUCGGUGCGUAAACUCCUUUUAUAUGAGAAGAUAAUGACGGUAUCAUAUGAAUAAGCUCCGGCUAACUCCGUGCCAGCAGCCGCGGUAAUACGGGGGGAGCAAGCGUUACUCGGAAUCACUGGGCGUAAAGCGCAUGUAGGCUGGUAAUUAAGUUGGAAGUGAAAUCCUAUGGCUUAACCAUAGAACUGCUUCCAAAACUGAUUACCUAGAAUAUGGGAGAGGUAGAUGGAAUUUCUGGUGUAGGGGUAAAAUCCGUAGAGAUCAGAAGGAAUACCGAUUGCGAAGGCGAUCUACUGGAACAUUAUUGACGCUGAGAUGCGAAAGCGUGGGGAGCAAACAGGAUUAGAUACCCUGGUAGUCCACGCCCUAAACGAUGUACACUAGUUGUUGCUAUACUAGAUAUAGCAGUAAUGCAGUUAACACAUUAAGUGUACCGCCUGGG